This 698-nucleotide unclassified non-coding RNA is filed under the name Scleria castanea. RNAcentral's name for it is "sequence contains ITS1, 5.8S rRNA gene, ITS2". The stretch from base 248 to 402 matches the Rfam family "5.8S ribosomal RNA". The record is from RNAcentral. Lineage: Eukaryota; Viridiplantae; Streptophyta; Magnoliopsida; Poales; Cyperaceae.
CGUAGGUGAACCUGCGGAAGGAUCAUUGUCGGUUGACCCAUGGAAACACGACCGGAGCACACGUGAUAGAAAAAUGCUGGCGCGGAGGCUCCGCUCCAGCCAACCGGCCACAGUCGUCGCCGUACCCUAUGGGUGCGCCGGCUGCCUGGCUGAUUACGGCGCGGGCUGACGCCAAGUAACAUUCGAUGCGGAGGCGGCGGCGGCAUGCUGUAGUGCUGCUUGCAGCUGAUGCUUAUGAUUUCAACAUGACUCUCGGCAACGGAUAUCUCGGCUCUCGCAUCGAUGAAGAACGUAGCGAAAUGCGAUACGUGGUGUGAAUUGCAGAAUCCCGCGAACCAUCGAGUUUUUGAACGCAAGUUGCGCCCUAGGGACCUGCCCGAGGGCACGCCUGCCUCAUGGGCGUAAUAAGCCCAUCAACGCUCAUGUGUUCAAUGCCAUGUUCAUUGUGACGGGCCUGGACCGAUGCGGAUGAUGGCCCUCCGAGCCUUGUGGGCACGGCGGGCCCAAGUGUUUGUCGGUCGGACGUGGCCGGGAGCGGUGAGUUGUGGGAACCUGCAUAUGCCGCCCCAUGCGUGUGCCGGCGUCCGGCUUUUUAAUUUUGACCCAGGAUGAGGAGCUCGUUGUUGGUGCGUCCGGCUACGAGGAACCCUCGGACCGAUACCCCAGGUCAGGCGGGGCUACCCGCCGAGUUUAAGCAU